Molecule: ribosomal RNA, 1158 nt
Filed under: Triticum aestivum (bread wheat)
Lineage: Eukaryota; Viridiplantae; Streptophyta; Magnoliopsida; Poales; Poaceae
Description: partial small subunit ribosomal RNA
Source: RNAcentral
AUGGAUGAGAGAGUCACACGGUCAAGGUUUAUCGAUUCUGACUAUCAUACUCAUUCAACAUUUGUUGCUUCUUUUGAGCCCAAAGAUAUAUCUCAUGCAUUAACUGAUGAAUCAUGGAUCAAUGCCAUGCAUGAGGAAUUAGAAAAUUUUGAGCGUAACAAAGUUUGGACUCUUGUUUCACCUCCUUCUGGUCAUACUCUUAUUGGAACUCGUUGGGUUUUCAAAAACAAACAAAGUGAGGAUGGUGUUAUUGUUCGCAACAAGGCUAGGUUGGUUGCUCAGGGUUUUACUCAAGUUGAAGGUCUUGAUUUUGAUGAAACUUUUGCUCCUGUUGCUAGAUUGGAAGCUAUAAGAAUUUUAUUGACUUUUGCUGCAUCUGAAGGUUUUAAGCUUUAUCAAAUGGAUGUUAAAAGUGCUUUUCUUAAUGGCUUUAUUGAUGAGGAGGUUUAUGUUAAGCAACCACCUGGUUUCGAGAAUCCAAAGUUUCCCAACCAUGUUUAUAAACUUUCAAAAGCUUUGUAUGGUUUAAAACAAGCCCCACGUUCAUGGUAUGAUAGGUUGAAAAUGUUUUUAAUUGGAAAGGGGUUUACCAUGGGAAACGUUGAUAAAACACUCUUUGUACUCAAACAUGGCAACGAUCAACUUUUCGUACAAGUUUAUGUUGAUGAUAUUAUCUUUGGGUGUGCUUCUCAUGCUUUGGUGUCAGAAUUUUCAGAAAGUAUGAGCAGGGAAUUUGAAAUGAGCAUGAUGGGUGAACUUACUUACUUUUUGGGACUGCAAAUCAAACAAACAAAGGAUGGCACCUUUGUGCAUCAAAGUAAGUAUACGAAGGAUCUUCUAUGGCACUUUGGGAUGGAAAACCUCAACCCUAUUAUGACACCAAUGGGAUCUACGGCGUCACUUGAUCUUGAUGAGGAAGGUGAAACUGUUGACCAAAAGAUGUAUAGGAGUAUGAUUGGUUCACUUCUUUAUCUCGCCGCUUCUAGACCGGAUAUACAAUUUUCUGUAUGCUUGUGUGCACGGUUUCAAGCUUCUCCACGUGCAUCACAUCUACAAGCUGUCAAGCGGAUCUUCAGGUAUCUACAUGGCACCCAAUCUUUUGGCAUUUUGGCUUUCUGCUUCCUCGAGUAUUUCAUUGCGUGCAUUUUCGGAUGCUGA